RNAcentral lists this ribosomal RNA (520 nucleotides) under Bacillus subtilis. Its description in RNAcentral is "bacterial SSU rRNA". It matches the Rfam family "Bacterial small subunit ribosomal RNA", at positions 903 to 1387 of the family's 1533-position model. Lineage: Bacteria; Bacillati; Bacillota; Bacilli; Caryophanales; Bacillaceae. The record is from RNAcentral.
CGCAAAGAACUGAAAACUCCAAAAGGAAAUUGACCGGGGGGCCCCGCAACAAGCCGGUGGGAGCAUGUUGGUUUUAUUUCGAAGCCAACGCGAAGAACCUUUCCAGGUUUUGACAUCCUCUGAACAAUCCUAGAGAUAGGACGUCCCCUUCGGGGGUAGAGUGCCAGGUGGUGCAUGGUUGUCGUCAGUUCGUGUCGUGAAAUGUUGGGUUAAGUCCCGCAACGAGCGCAACCCUUGAUCUUAGUUGCCACCCUUCAGUUGGGCCCUCUAAGGGGACUGCCGGUGACAAACCGGAGGAAGGUGGGGAAGACGUCAAAUUAUCAUGCCCCUUAUGGCCUGGGGUACACACGUGCUACAAUGGACAGAACAAAGGGCAGCGAAACCGCGAGGUUAAGCCAAUUCCACAAAUCUGUUUUCAGUUCGGAUUGCCGUUUGCAACUUGGCUGCGUGAAGCUGGAAUCGCUUGUAAUCGCGGAUCAGCAUGCCGCGGUGAAUACGUUUCCGGGCCUUGUACACCCCG